Molecule: long non-coding RNA, 855 nt
Organism: Spinacia oleracea (spinach)
Lineage: Eukaryota; Viridiplantae; Streptophyta; Magnoliopsida; Caryophyllales; Amaranthaceae
Exons: 2
Source: RefSeq, a predicted model, not a curated record
UCACUAGUAGAGAAAAGGUCAUUUGCAACUCCCUUUUCACAACUCACCUAAUGUGUGAAUGCUACGAAAAGCAUUGGUCAACGUGGCUCAAUGAUUUAAUGAUUUUAUAGCACCGUUUUUGGGCUGGGAACGCUGCAAUAUUUGGGGAAAAAAAACUUAAAAACGUACUCGCAGCGCACCGAGUGAGUGCACGCUAAGAAAAAGUUUGUAAUUGCAACUUCAUCCCGAUAUACACGCUGCGCGAACCUUUUCUCAAACCUAAACAAUUGUUAAGUCUCCCUCUCUCCCUGGAACUCUCCGUCCAUUUCAAACCCUAGAAUUCAUUAUCUCUCUGUUUCUUCCAAAUCGUUCAAUGGGUUUUUGAAAAAGAGCUUCGAUCUAGUUCCUUCCAACUCUCAUCAAACUAGAGGAGUAGAUCGGGUUACUGAUGUAGCGCAAACCUCCCCUCGUGCCAAAGAGAGUUAAAGAGAUGGCGGAUGAGAAAGAGGACACCGACCUCGUACCGCGCUUGAAGUUCUACCUUCACUUCGUCAAUUCUGGCAGGGUUUCAAUUUUUAAACUCUUUGUUUUCUUCGAUUUUAAAUGAUUUAUGAUGUUUGGCUGAUUUGAUUUCUUAAUUUUUGGGGAUUUAUUGUUCUUCAUUUUAGUUGUUAAUUUGAUGUAAAUUUGUUGAUUUCUAUUAAUUGAGAGAAUGCACUUCCGCAUCUGCGCUCGUCAAGCCAACUUUCUUCUUUGGUUUGGGAGGUUAAACAGCGGUUGAAGCGGCACAUUAGGUGAAGGGUUCUGGUAGUUUAAGGGUUAUUUUUUUUAAUGUUUCAGACGAAUUUGUUGAUUUGGAAUCAAAUUGGUUUAGGU